UAGAAAUACUAGUAAUAGUAGGGGCGGAUGAGCAG
Molecule: transfer RNA, 35 nt
Filed under: Myrcia suffruticosa
Lineage: Eukaryota; Viridiplantae; Streptophyta; Magnoliopsida; Myrtales; Myrtaceae
Description: partial tRNA-His
Source: RNAcentral